This 119-nucleotide ribosomal RNA is filed under the name Ricinus communis (castor bean). Lineage: Eukaryota; Viridiplantae; Streptophyta; Magnoliopsida; Malpighiales; Euphorbiaceae. The record is from RNAcentral.
GGGUGCGAUCAUACUAGCACUAAUGCACCGGAUCCCAUCAGAACUACGAAGUUUAACAAGCUUGGGCGAGAGUAGUACUAAGAUGGGUGACCUCUUGGGAAGUCCUCGUGUUGCAUCCC